GGACUUCAACGACGUUUUGAACGUCAUGGAGCAUAUGAGAUGUUCCAGGAGUUGAAGUUAAUAUUUCAAGCAAAUGCCCGGAUUGAGAGAUAUGAAGUCUCCAAUAAGUUCUAUUGCUGCAAAAUGGAGGAGAACAGUUUUGUCAGUGAGCAUAUACUCAAAAUGUCUGGGUGUAAUAAUCACUUGAUUAAAAUGGGAGUUAAUCUUCCAGAUGAUUGCGUCAUUGACAGAAUUCUCCAAUCACUGCCACCAAGCUACAAGAGCUUCGUGAUGAACUAUAAUAUGCAAGGGAUGAAUAAGACUAUUCCCGAGCUCUUCGCAAUGCUGAAAGCUGCGGAGGUAGAAAUCAAAAAGGAGCAUCAAGUGUUGAUGGUCAACAAGACCACUAGUUUCAAGAAAAAG
Molecule: ribosomal RNA, 402 nt
Filed under: Triticum aestivum (bread wheat)
Lineage: Eukaryota; Viridiplantae; Streptophyta; Magnoliopsida; Poales; Poaceae
Description: partial small subunit ribosomal RNA
Source: RNAcentral